GAAUCCUGACACAGGGAGGUAGUGACAAGAAAUAACAAUACAGGGCUACUUCUAGUCUUGUAAUUGGAAUGAGUACAACUUACAUCUCUUCACGAGGAUCAAUUGGAGGGCAAGUCUGGUGCCAGCAGCCGCGGUAAUUCCAGCUCCAAUAGCGUAUAUUAAAGUUGUUGCAGUUAAAAAGCUCGUAGUCGGAUUUCGGGUCGGGCCGAGCGGUCUGCCGAUGGGUAUGCACUGUUCGGCGCGGCCUUCUUUCCGGAGACCGCGGCUACUCUUAACUGAGCGGGCGYGGGAGACGGAUCGUUUACUUUGAAAAAAUCAGAGUGUUUCAAGCAGGCAGCUCGCUCUUGCAUGGAUUAGCAUGGGAUAAUGAAAUAGGACUCUGGUGCUAUUUUGUUGGUUUCGAACACCGGAGUAAUGAUUAACAGGGACAGUCAG
RNAcentral lists this ribosomal RNA (435 nucleotides) under Phaeocystis sp. JD-2012. Its description in RNAcentral is "SSU rRNA". It matches the Rfam family "Eukaryotic small subunit ribosomal RNA", at positions 448 to 896 of the family's 1831-position model. The record is from RNAcentral. Lineage: Eukaryota; Haptophyta; Phaeocystales; Phaeocystaceae.